GGGCCAAAGGCGGCGCCGGUUCGCCGGCGCUGUCACCUGGAGAUGGGCCCGCGUCCGAUUAGCUUGUUGGCGGGGUAACGGCCCACCAAGGCGACGAUCGGUAGCUGGUCUGAGAGGAUGGCCAGCCACACUGGAACUGGAACACGGUCCAGACUCCUACGGGAGGCAGCAGUGAGGAAUAUUGCGCAAUGGGGGAAACCCUGACGCAGCAACGCCGCGUGGGUGAAGAAGGCCUUCGGGUCGUAAAGCCCUUUCGGACGGGACGAACGCUUCGCGUCGACAACACGCGAAGCCUGACGGUACCGUAGGAAGAAGCACCGGCUAACUCCGUGCCAGCAGCCGCGGUAA
This 348-nucleotide ribosomal RNA is filed under the name uncultured Syntrophaceae bacterium. Its description in RNAcentral is "bacterial SSU rRNA". It matches the Rfam family "Bacterial small subunit ribosomal RNA", at positions 198 to 523 of the family's 1533-position model. Lineage: Bacteria; Pseudomonadati; Thermodesulfobacteriota; Syntrophia; Syntrophales; Syntrophaceae. The record is from RNAcentral.